Molecule: microRNA precursor, 158 nt
Filed under: Prunus dulcis (almond)
Lineage: Eukaryota; Viridiplantae; Streptophyta; Magnoliopsida; Rosales; Rosaceae
Description: sRNA ncRNA
Source: RNAcentral
GUGUGAGAUUGAUAGAGAGGAUGCGAAGGGAGAAUGGGAGAGAGAAAUAACAUAAGUGAAAAUGAAAACAAUUUCAAAUAGAUUUCAAUUUUUGAUUUUUGUUUUCACUUUUGUUACUUCUCUCUCCCAUUCUCCCAUCUCAUCUACCAUUUAAGAUU